AACGAACGCUGGCGGCAUGCCUAACACAUGCAAGUCGAACGAGACCUUCGGCUCUAGUGGCGCACGGGUGCGUAACGCGUGGGAACCUGCCCUUAGGUUCGGAAUAACUCCCCGAAGGGGGUGCUAAUACCGGAUAAUGUCUUCGGACCAAAGAUUUAUCGCCUUUGGAUGGGCCCGCGUUGGAUUAGCUAGUUGGUAGGGUAAAAGCCUACCAAGGCGACGAUCCAUAGCUGGUCUGAGAGGAUGAUCAGCCACACUGGGACUGAGACACGGCCCAGACUACUACGGGAGGCAGCAGUGGGGAAUAUUGGACAAUGGGCGAAAGCCUGAUCCAGCAAUGCCGCGUGAGUGAUGAAGGCCUUAGGGUUGUAAAGCUCUUUUACCCGGGAUGAUAAUGACAGUACCGGGAGAAUAAGCUCCGGCUAACUCCGUG
This 433-nucleotide ribosomal RNA is filed under the name uncultured bacterium. Its description in RNAcentral is "partial 16S ribosomal RNA". It matches the Rfam family "Bacterial small subunit ribosomal RNA", at positions 29 to 507 of the family's 1533-position model. The record is from RNAcentral.